ACCUAGCAACGCAGCCAAUGAAACUGCCGCAUGGAGACCAAGAGAGGGAACGACCUAAAUCAUGCCACAGAACUCAUCCGUUAUUCCUAUGGGGGUGAAGCAUGAGGCAUAUUUAUAUCUGCCCAGACACACCUUCUGGAAGGCUCGCUCCCAACUCCCAACUGCAAACACCCUGUGGUGGACCACAGGAAGAGAGAAACAUCCACACCUGCGCAUGGGCACUGCUCACCAUCACUAGCACGUGAACACAGAGCCUUCCCCAUCCGCCUCAGAAAGUCAUCUCAACACUGGGUCACCAACAUCUCUAGCACCAAACUCUGAGAAACCACCGCUCUCCACACCCAGGAGAGAUCGGAGAGGGUGUCUAACCCCCACCCCCACAGCCCCAGCCUUACCUUCCCACAAGCCACCAUGGAGAGGGCCACUUGGUACCAAAGGUGAAAUUCUCCAAACGCACACUUCAUGGCUCGCUCUAGGCACUGGGGAGGAACAUGCAGUUAGCAUUGCCUCACCAGCCGCCUGCUUGCCUCGUCCCCCCCCCCCCCCCGGGGUAAGCAUGACCCGAGUCGCUGCCUUCAGAGAGCCAAUGGGCAGCCUGGGAAUACAGGGACAAUCCAGUCCCUGCACACAUGCACUGUGAUGAGGCACAACGAUUGUCUCACCCGCUAUACUCCUAGGUUCCCACCUCCAUAAUUCAUGGAUGGUUUCAGACAGCCAUUUUGAUGUGCAAAUAAAAUAAGGCUUAUG
This 747-nucleotide long non-coding RNA is filed under the name Mus pahari (shrew mouse). RNAcentral's name for it is "predicted gene 15978 (MGP_PahariEiJ_G0002813.1)". Lineage: Eukaryota; Metazoa; Chordata; Mammalia; Rodentia; Muridae. The record is from RNAcentral.